Molecule: ribosomal RNA, 629 nt
Filed under: uncultured bacterium
Lineage: Bacteria
Description: bacterial SSU rRNA
Rfam family: Bacterial small subunit ribosomal RNA
Source: RNAcentral
AUUGAACGCUGGCGGCAGGCCUAACACAUGCAAGUCGAGCGGAAACGAGUUAACUGACCCUUCGGGUGACGUUAACGGCGUCGAGCGGCGGACGGGUGAGUAAUGCCUGGGAAAUUGCCCUGAUGUGGGGGAUAACCAUUGGAAACGAUGGCUAAUACCGCAUAAUAGCUUCGGCUCAAAGAGGGGGACCUUCGGGCCUCUCGCGUCAGGAUAUGCCCAGGUGGGAUUAGCUAGUUGGUGAGGUAAUGGCUCACCAAGGCGACGAUCCCUAGCUGGUCUGAGAGGAUGAUCAGCCACACUGGAACUGAGACACGGUCCAGACUCCUACGGGAGGCAGCAGUGGGGAAUAUUGCACAAUGGGCGCAAGCCUGAUGCAGCCAUGCCGCGUGUGUGAAGAAGGCCUUCGGGUUGUAAAGCACUUUCAGCAGUGAGGAAGGCAGGUACGUUAAUAGCGUAUUCGUUUGACGUUAGCUGCAGAAGAAGCACCGGCUAACUCCGUGCCAGCAGCCGCGGUAAUACGGAGGGUGCGAGCGUUAAUCGGAAUUACUGGGCGUAAAGCGCAUGCAGGUGGUUCGUUAAGUCAGAUGUGAAAGCCCGGGGCUCAACCUCGGAACUGCAUUUGAAACUGG